GAUGAAGAACGUAGCGAAAUGCGAUAAGUAAUGUGAAUUGCAGAAUUCAGUGAAUCAUCGAAUCUUUGAACGCACAUUGCGCCCGCCAGUACUCUGGCGGGCAUGCCUGUUCGAGCGUCAUUACAACCCUCAGGCCCCCGGGCCUGGCGUUGGGGAUCGGCGGAGCCCCCCGUGGGCACACGCCGUCCCCCAAAUGCAGUGGCGGUCCCGCCGCAGCUUCCAUCGCGUAGUAGCUAACACCUCGCGACUGGAGAGCGGCGCGGCCACGCCGUAAAACACCCAACUCUUCUGAAGUUGACCUCGAAUCAGGUAGGAAUACCCGCUGAACUUAAGCAUAUCAAUAAGCGGAGGA
RNAcentral lists this unclassified non-coding RNA (352 nucleotides) under soil metagenome. RNAcentral's name for it is "partial contains 5.8S ribosomal RNA, internal transcribed spacer 2, and large subunit ribosomal RNA". The stretch from base 1 to 120 matches the Rfam family "5.8S ribosomal RNA", at positions 35 to 154 of the family's 154-position model. The record is from RNAcentral.